Molecule: ribosomal RNA, 464 nt
Filed under: uncultured bacterium
Lineage: Bacteria
Description: partial 16S ribosomal RNA
Rfam family: Bacterial small subunit ribosomal RNA
Source: RNAcentral
CCUACGGGGGGCUGCAGUGGGGAAUAUUGCGCAAUGGGCGAAAGCCUGACGCAGCGACGCCGCGUGAGGGAUGAAGGUCUUCGGAUCGUAAACCUCUGUCAGCAGGGAAGAACGGUCACUGUGCUAAUCAGCAGUGAAUUGACGGUACCUGCAAAGGAAGCACCGGCUAACUCCGUGCCAGCAGCCGCGGUAAUACGGAGGGUGCGAGCGUUAAUCGGAAUUACUGGGCGUAAAGCGCUCGUAGGCGGUAUGUCAAGUCAAGGGUGAACUCCCCGGGCUCAACGUGGGAACUGCCUUUGAAACGGGCAAGUUGGAGUGUGUGAGAGGAUGGUGGAAGUCCAGGUGUAGGAGUGAAAUCCGUAGAUAUCUGGAGGAAAAUCAAUGGCGAAGGCGACUAUCUGGCACAUAACUGACGCUGAGGAGCGAAGGCGUGGGUAGCAAACAGGAUUAGAUACCCGGUAGUC